Non-coding RNA from Podarcis lilfordi (Lilford's wall lizard), 1779 nucleotides. Lineage: Eukaryota; Metazoa; Chordata; Lepidosauria; Squamata; Lacertidae. The record is from the annotation of a GenBank genome assembly.
UUCAUUUGCGAGUCGUUCUCAGUAAGCGGCAUGUGCUGAACUUGGAGCGCGCAGCUACUUCGCCAAAGCGGCAUGGAAACUCUUCGCGGCUCCGGAACAUUUCACUUGCUUCAAAGCACUUCGCGUACUUUAGCUCGGUCGACAAACUGGUCAAGUAGAUCAUUAUUAAUGCUCCCGCCACGUUACAGAGACAGAGCAGUGUACCAAAGGUGAGUCCAUGGCGGAAAUAAGAUUCUAACAGAUCAAUAUCUGACAUGAUAUUAUAAAAGAGUGACAAAUCAGGCAGGUGCUCUUGGAGGGCCUUAAUCAUAGCUGUCAACUUUUCCCUUUUCUUGCAAGGAAUCCUAUUCGGGAUAAGGGAAUUUCCCUUUAAAAAAGGGAAACGUUGACAGCUAUGGCCUUAACCCAUCCUCCACAUGCCAGUUCUCCCAUUUUUAUUGCCAUCACUCCAGUCUGCUGUUACUAUCAUUUAUUUUUACUAUUUUAUUUCAUUUGUUAUCUUGCCCAAGGCAAUCCAAAGUGACUUAUAGCCAAUCAGCUAUUUGGUUCACUUGAAUGAAUGUGUGUACAUUUCCCACAUGAAACAAAUAGCAGGCAGCAGUGGGGUGUUAAAUCAGGAAAACUGCAUGUCUGAAUGCCCCACCUGCACCCCGCUCCAAACUACAGCAUUGAUCCGUGAGUGCCAGUGGUGCCAGGUGCCAAUUCGGACUGGGGGCCCAACAGCAAGGGGAGCCAAGGAAAAUGGCAGCCACACACACGGAGGCAGUCAGAUGGGCUGAGGGCAGAAGGGUGGGGCAGUGCCCCCUUUGCUCUAACAGACAAACCUCCACUGCUGCUUUGAUCUUUAGGAAACUAAACUAACACGUUUCCUUGGGCACUUAGCAGCUAUGGCACACCAGCUCUCAAGGUGUGUCAAGGGUCUGGUGAGGUGGGGGGAAGAAUGCUCUCCCAACAUCACCAGAAAUUGGCUCAGAAUGCGGGUGGCGCUGUGGGUUAAACCACAGAGCCUAGGACUUGCCGAUCAGAAGGUCGGCGGGUUUGAAUCCCCACGAUGGGGUGAGCUCCUGUUGCUCGGUCCCAGCUCCUGCCAAGCUAGCAGUUCGAAAGCACGUCAAAGUGCAAGUAGAUAAAUAGGUACCAGUCCUGCGGGAAGAUAAACGGCGUUUCCAUGCACUGCUCUGGUUCGCCAGAAGUGGCUUAGUCCUGCUGGCCACAAGACCCAGAAGCUGUAUGCCGGCUCCCUCGGUCAGUAAAGCAAGAUGAGCGCCGCAACCCCAGAGUCGGCCACAACUGGACCUAAUGGUCAGGGGUCCCUUUACCUUUAAUGCAAUCAAACACAUAGGUGAAGAUCCAGUUGCCACCCUCUGAUACUAACUAAUAAUAAAUAUUCUUUUUCCAGUAAUUAGAAAGCGGAAAGUCUGCCAGAGAAGUGCUGGAGGACAAAGGUGCAAAGGAGAACCGAAGGAAGACAGAUUCUUUGCCUCUGUCUUCAUUGUGAAAGUUAGCUAGAGAGAUGCUCAUACGCCACAACCUGCAGCCUUGCUUCCUGGCAGUGUAGCUGAGACACCAAACGGCAAAUAAAUGUGACAAAGGAUAAAGCCUGAGCUGUGUUUCCAGUAAAUGGGAAGCAAACGUGACAAAGGCCACAACGGUUACAACACAUGCAGAAGGGCAGCGAGACUUGCAGUUGAUGAGUCAGCCAUGGCUUCUGUGAGGGGAAGCAUCGGCUCAACGACACCGGCCUUUCAGAACGACAACAAACACUCUGGUCCAGUGGGC